Oncorhynchus keta (chum salmon) is the source of this 1746-nucleotide RNA transcript. It is a transcript of the gene named zinc finger protein 135-like, with no coding region annotated. The record is from RefSeq and is a predicted model, not a curated record. NCBI's taxonomy places the organism in Eukaryota, Metazoa, Chordata, Actinopteri, Salmoniformes, Salmonidae. The transcript has 4 exons.
GUUUAUGUUUUUACAAUUUUUUUUUUUUUUAAAUGUACUUGCUCAGUUGGUACGCACCAACAUUCAAAACAACAACAACCACAAUGCACUGCGUUUAGGGUGUGUCGUAAAAUUUGGUCCGGUAAGAAAAGAGGAGAGGAAAGUUUUUAGCAAACAACAAAACACGUCUUUCAAGUAGCUCGCUGUUUGUAAGAACAUCUGAUUUCGGUUUGGCCAUUGGUUUUCGUUCUACACGGGACUGUGAAAUCCGUAGAGUUGAUCUGCCACAUAACUCACCGUUGACAGAUAGCUGGCGAGCCUAGUAACAUAGAUGGUAAAAACACUGAACUUAGAUACAGCAGAGAUGGUAUCAAUCAGCCCAGUGGACUCCGAUCCGGUACUCGGGAUCAACGUUGUGGUGAAGGAUGAAGACGGAGAGGUAGUGGAUUAUUUAGCGGAACCAAGGCUGUCCUGCUGUGUGAAAGAGGAACAAGAAGAGGUACCGUGUCAGCUAGAAGAACACAAAGACCCUUUACCACCGCCAGCUGUCCUGCCAGGUACCACAAUUCCUUGUGUUUUCCUGGGAGAUGCAGCUUUCCCUCCACAUGAGAACCUCGUGCGCCGGAUCCAGGUGUCUCAAUAAACCUGGGUGUACCUUGAAUCUUCACCACUCUCGUUCUCGCAGGCAGAGAAUGCAUUCGGCAUUAUGGCUUCGAUGGGGAUUCUUGGUCGUCCAAUCGAGUGUACCCCUGAAAAGGCUAAGGACGUGUGACCCUCCACAACUACCUUUCUUCCAUAGAUGAAGCUCAUCAGCCAAACAGAAAUUACCAAAAAUAUGUGGACACCUGCUGGUCCAACAUCUCAUUCCAAAAUCAUGGACAUUAAUAUUAAUAUGGAGUUGUCCCCCUUCUGGGAAGGCUUUCCACUAGAUGUUGGAACAUUGCUGCUAUAACAGCCUCCACUCUUCUGGGAAGGCUUUCCACUAGAUGUUGGAACAUUGCUGCUAUAACAGCCUCCACUCUUCUGGGAAGGCUUUCCACUAGAUGUUGGAACAUUGCUGCUAUAACAGCCUCCACUCUUCUGGGAAGGCUUUCCACUAGAUGUUGGAACAUUGCUGCUAUAACAGCCUCCACUCUUCUGGGAAGGCUUUCCACUAGAUGUUGGAACAUUGCUGCUAUAACAGCCUCCACUCUUCUGGGAAGACAUUCCACUAGAUGUUGGAACAUUGCUGCUAUAACAGCCUCCACUCUUCUGGGAAGGCUUUCCACUAGAUGUUGGAACAUUGCUGCUAUAACAGCCUCCACUCUUCUGGGAAGGCUUUCCACUAGAUGUUGGAACAUUGCUGCUAUUACAGCCUCCACUCUUCUGGGAAGGCUUUCCACUAGAUGUUGGAACAUUGCUGCUAUAACAGCCUCCACUCUUCUGGGAAGGCUUUCCACUAGAUGUUGGAACAUUGCUGCGGGGAUUUGCUUCCAUUCAGCCACAAGCAUUAGUGAGGUCGGACACUGAUGUUGGGCGAUUAGGCCUGGCUUGCAGUCAGCAUUCCAAUUCAUCACAUUUGCUGACAACCCGCCAACCCCCCCCAGGACAUUGCCAUGGCAAGAAGCCAGGGUUAGAAGAGGACAACGCAACCCAAAGCCAGCCAAUCAGAACAGGCCUUUGUUUUGCCUGCUCACACACACCCCAAGAUGGACGCACUGUGAAUGAAAGUACUCUGUACUAAAAUGUAGAGUUUUAAUCUUGUUAAUAAAUUGAAACCUGAUUUUC